This 253-nucleotide ribosomal RNA is filed under the name uncultured bacterium. RNAcentral describes it as "partial 16S ribosomal RNA". It matches the Rfam family "Bacterial small subunit ribosomal RNA", at positions 524 to 776 of the family's 1533-position model. The record is from RNAcentral.
CACGGGGGGAGCAAGCGUUGUUCGGAAUCACUGGGCUUAAAGGGCGCGUAGGCGGGCUGCCAAGUCUGGGGUGAAAUCCUCCGGCUCAACCGGAGAACGGCCUCGGAUACUGGCGGUCUCGAGGGAGGUAGGGGCGUGCGGAACUAAGGGUGGAGCGGUGAAAUGCGUUGAUAUCCUUAGGAACUCCGGUGGCGAAGGCGGCACGCUGGACCUCUUCUGACGCUGAGGCGCGAAAGCCAGGGGAGCAAACGGG